Stegodyphus dumicola is the source of this 903-nucleotide long non-coding RNA. The record is from RefSeq and is a predicted model, not a curated record. Lineage: Eukaryota; Metazoa; Arthropoda; Arachnida; Araneae; Eresidae.
AUCAAAAAUCUGAAGAAAAAUAAAAGUCCUGGAUAUGACAACAUUACGAACCAGAUGAUCAAGAAUUUCCCUAGGAAGAUUAUACUACGUUUCACCAAGAUUAUCAAUAUCAUCAUCAAAUGGCAGCAUUUUCCUGAAUGUUGGAAGGUUGCAGUGAUCACACCAAUUCUUAAGCCUCAAAAACCUGCGAACGUUCCGGAAUCCUAUUAGUUAUCCUAUUAUCUUUCUUAGUGCAGGCAGUAGACCUAUGUACUGUUGUUUCUGUUCUUGCUAGUGGCUUUCCUGGACGGCAUUUUCUCUAUGUGAAUCAUGUACGCUCUCAUUGUUCAUUAUUAAUCAUCCUAACUUCAUUAUUAAGCCCAUAUAUAUAUAUAAAAAAUUCUUAUAAAAAAUUCUUAAAAAAAAUUUCGAAAAUAAAAAUUUGAAAAAGAAAAGAAAAAAAUGUGUAUUAGAAAUCUUGGGCAUAUUUUUAGUUUGCAUUCUGUUCGAACUAGCGUAUUUUCGAUUGGGGGGUAGGGUCCUUUGACCCAGGCACCCCGGUGGUACACCAUCACUCGUUGCGUACAUGAAUAUACGUACGUGGAAUUGAAAAUUACAAGGUUCCUGCUGAUGCUGAAAAAACGCUACAGUCAGUUUCACCUAAAUUUUUUUCAGUUGGACAUACUGCUUCUUCCUCUUACUUCUGUGUAGUUACAGAAAAUGAAACUUUAAGUGUCUCAAAAGACUUUACUUCGGCUGUUGCGUUACUGCAUGCUAUUACUACACUAUGAAUAUAAGCUAUCCAAAGGAAAUAUCUUGUACUCUUAAAUUUUUACAGCAUUCUUUUUUAAAUCAGUGGUAAAAUACCUUGUAAUGUUAUGAAUCUUCAUCAUAAGAUGUCAUUAAAGUAGAAUAUUUUGUUUU